RNAcentral lists this ribosomal RNA (253 nucleotides) under uncultured bacterium. Its description in RNAcentral is "partial 16S ribosomal RNA". It matches the Rfam family "Bacterial small subunit ribosomal RNA", at positions 524 to 776 of the family's 1533-position model. The record is from RNAcentral.
UACGUAGGGGGCAAGCGUUGUCCGGAAUUAUUGGGCGUAAAGAGCGCGUAGGCGGUCCGGUAAGUCGGUUGUGAAAGUCGGGGGCUCAACCCUCGGAUGCCGAUCGAUACUGUCGGGCUAGAGUCCGGAAGGGGCGAGUGGAAUUCCUGGUGUAGCGGUGAAAUGCGCAGAUAUCAGGAGGAACACCGAUGGCGAAGGCAGCUCGCUGGGACGGUACUGACGCUGAGACGCGAAAGCGUGGGGAGCAAACAGG